Molecule: transfer RNA, 82 nt
Filed under: Blattella germanica (German cockroach)
Lineage: Eukaryota; Metazoa; Arthropoda; Insecta; Blattodea; Blattellidae
Description: tRNA-Ser (GCT) (tRNA-Ser-GCT-22-1)
Rfam family: tRNA
About the family: Transfer RNA (tRNA) molecules are approximately 80 nucleotides in length. Their secondary structure includes four short double-helical elements and three loops (D, anti-codon, and T loops). Further hydrogen bonds mediate the characteristic L-shaped molecular structure. tRNAs have two regions of fundamental functional importance: the anti-codon, which is responsible for specific mRNA codon recognition, and the 3' end, to which the tRNAs corresponding amino acid is attached (by aminoacyl-tRNA synthetases). tRNAs cope with the degeneracy of the genetic code in two manners: having more than one tRNA (with a specific anti-codon) for a particular amino acid; and 'wobble' base-pairing, i.e. permitting non-standard base-pairing at the 3rd anti-codon position.
Source: RNAcentral
GACGAGGUGGCCGAGUGGUUAAGCCGUUGGACUGCUAAUCCAAUGUGCUCUGCACGCGUGGGUUCGAAUCUCUUCCUCGUCG